RNAcentral lists this ribosomal RNA (666 nucleotides) under uncultured bacterium. Its description in RNAcentral is "bacterial SSU rRNA". It matches the Rfam family "Bacterial small subunit ribosomal RNA", at positions 194 to 861 of the family's 1533-position model. The record is from RNAcentral.
CUUUGUUUUAAAACUGAAGGUGGUCACGGAUGGGCUCGCGAGCCAUUAGCCAGUUGGCGGGGUAACGGGCCCACCAAAAGCGACGAUGCCUGGGGUUUUGAGAGGAAGACCCCCCACACUGGAACUGAGACACGGUCCAGACUCCUCCGGGAGGCAGCAGUGAGGAAUAUUGGGCAAUGGAGGAAACUCUGAUCCAGCCAUGCCGCGUGAAGGAAGAAGGCCCUAUGGUUCGUAAACAUCUUUUGUCGCAGAGCAAUAAGUUCCACGCGUGGAUCGAUGAGAGUAUGCGACGAAUAAGCAUCGGCUAACUCCGUGCCAGCAGCCGCGGUAAUACGGGGGAUGCGAGCGUUAUCCGGAUUUAUUGGGUUUAAAGGGUGCGUAGGCUGCUCUGCAAGUCGGUGGUGAAACCCCGGGGCUCAACCCCGGGCGUGCCGUCGAAACUGUGGGGCUUGAAUUCGGAUGCCGUGGGAGGAAUGAGUAGUGUAGCGGUGAAAUGCAUAGAUAUUACUCAGAACACCGAUUGCGAAGGCAUCUCACGAAUCCGACAUUGACGCUGAGGCACGAAAGCGUGGGGAUCAAACAGGAUUAGAUACCCUGGUAGUCCACGCAGUAAACGAUGAUGAAUAACCGCCGGCGACAUACCGAUCGGGGCCAAGCGAAAGCGAU